This 466-nucleotide ribosomal RNA is filed under the name uncultured bacterium. RNAcentral's name for it is "partial 16S ribosomal RNA". It matches the Rfam family "Bacterial small subunit ribosomal RNA", at positions 28 to 505 of the family's 1533-position model. The record is from RNAcentral.
GACGAACGCUGGCGGCGUGCUUAACACAUGCAAGUCGAACGGAAAGGCCCUGCUUUUGUGGGGUGCUCGAGUGGCGAACGGGUGAGUAACACGUGAGUAACCUGCCCUUGACUUUGGGAUAACUUCAGGAAACUGGGGCUAAUACCGGAUAGGAGCUCCUGCUGCAUGGUGGGGGUUGGAAAGUUUCGGCGGUUGGGGAUGGACUCGCGGCUUAUCAGCUUGUUGGUGGGGUAGUGGCUUACCAAGGCUUUGACGGGUAGCCGGCCGGAGAGGGUGACCGGCCACAGUGGGAAGGAUAGACGGCCCAGCCUACUACGGGAGGCAGGAGGGGGAAAUAUUGCACAAGGGGGGGGAGACUGAUGCAGCACCCGCGUGUGCGGGAUGGGGGCGUUCGGGUUGGAAACCGCUUUCGCCGGGGACGAAGGGUGGGGGAGGGUAAGGGGUAAAGAAGCCGCGGCUAACGACG